GAUAAAAAUCUCAGACAUAUUGCAGUUCUUCACAAUCCUUCCCCAUUAAUUUGCUUAUAUUUUUUAUGGGUUUCCUUCCUAGGGGCAUCUAUGUAAAUCAUUUGGAGUUUUUGCCUUUCCUCUUAGAAGAAAAAUAUGAAUGAUUUGACUGAACAGGCCUAUAGCCAAACCCAAGAUGAUCUUUCCAAGCGUGAACUCCAUCUUCAAACUUCUAAUCUUAAACCUUAAAGAAGAAACUAUGGCAAUGUCUCUUCCACCACUCUUGACUAGCAUGAUGUGUUGCCAAAAGACUUCAGAUCAUAAGUGCGAAAUAAAAAAUCAAAAAUUGACUGCAUCUUUUCUCAUUGCUCAACAACUGUCAAACAACUGAGAAAUUUGUUUUGGAUGAAGCAGUAACAUUCCUUCUUCCACUCCCAGCCCCAUUCCACGUAGUCUGCAGUUCCUCACUGACCACUGAUUGAUGUCAACGUGCAAACUCUCAGACAGAAGACAAGAAAUAUGUCCUGGGUUUUCUGGUUCCUCAAGCUUCUGACUAGGACCAGAGCCAGCAAUUACACACACUUAUCCCUAUUCUUUCCAUGAAUGCAGAGAAAGAAAGACCUUCUUGGGCUGUAAGAAAUACUCUAUUCCUCACACAUAAUAACUAAGGCUCAGCAGCUUGUAAAAAGGCAUGGUCCAGGGCAUGUCAGGACAAGGAAGAGCGGUAAGUUGUUUCUCUGUCUUUCCUCUGUAUUCUUUCAUAAUUGGGACAAGGCCUCAGCUGACAAGGAGCUGGCAGAACACUGGGGACAGCUGGUAUGUAAGAACCAACACCGUCCCAUCAGUCAUUUAUUCAACACAUGUUUAUUGAGUAUCUGCAACGUGACUGCACCGUUAUAGAGUCUGCAUUGUUGUAGGUCCUGAGAAAAAAACUGCAAAGCAAAAGUACACACAGGCUUGCCCUCCUGAAAUGUACAGUCAGGUGGAGAUGGCAGAUAUUAAGAAACUAACUUGUGCUAUUGAAGUUUAAAAGAAAGGGAUCUUACUGAGUCUGAGGAGAGGGAUGAAUCAAUGCAGACUUCCUAGAAGAACUGGCAUAUAAACCAAGAACUGAAAGAGGAAUAGACAUUAAACCAGAAAACAGAAUGGAAGAAAAAUAGAUUUACGAUGCAAAAACCGUAAAGGAAAGAGUUCAGUAUGACUGGAAUAUAUAGACAGAAGAUAAUGGUUUAUGAUAAGACUGAAAAGGAAUGCAGGGUCUAGAUAAAGAGACUCUUCAAAUUAGUAAGAAUUUUUUUGAGACAAUAAAAGACCAUUUUGCUUUGG
Homo sapiens (human) is the source of this 1305-nucleotide long non-coding RNA. RefSeq lists it as uncharacterized. NCBI's taxonomy places the organism in Eukaryota, Metazoa, Chordata, Mammalia, Primates, Hominidae. The record is from RefSeq and is a predicted model, not a curated record. The transcript has 2 exons.